CGCGCGCGGUUCGGCAACCAGCGGGGCCUCAUAAGCCCCGCCCACGUGGAUCGACACCACGGCGCGCGACC
This 71-nucleotide transfer RNA is filed under the name Amycolatopsis sp. CA-230715. RNAcentral's name for it is "tRNA-Met". Lineage: Bacteria; Bacillati; Actinomycetota; Actinomycetes; Pseudonocardiales; Pseudonocardiaceae. The record is from RNAcentral.